This 503-nucleotide ribosomal RNA is filed under the name uncultured Glomus. RNAcentral describes it as "SSU rRNA". It matches the Rfam family "Eukaryotic small subunit ribosomal RNA", at positions 569 to 1077 of the family's 1831-position model. Lineage: Eukaryota; Fungi; Glomeromycota; Glomeromycetes; Glomerales; Glomeraceae. The record is from RNAcentral.
AGCAGCCGCGGUAAUUCCAGCUCCAAUAGCGUAUAUUAAAGUUGUUGCAGUUAAAAAGCUCGUAGUUGAAUUUCGGGACCAGUAUGUCGGUCGUGCUUCGGUACGUACUUGCAUUAUUGGUUUCUCCCUUCUGACGAACCAUGAUGUCAUUAAUUUGAUGUCAUGGGAAAUCAGGACUGUUACUUUGAAAAAAUUAGAGUGUUUAAAGCAGGCUCGCGCUUGAAUACAUUAGCAUGGAAUAAUGAAAUAGGACGUUUGAUUCUAUUUUGUUGGUUUCUAGGAUCGACGUAAUGAUUAAUAGGGAUAGUUGGGGGCAUUAGUAUUCAAUUGUCAGAGGUGAAAUUCUUGGAUUUAUUGAAGACUAACUACUGCGAAAGCAUUUGCCAAGGAUGUUUUCAUUAAUCAAGAACGAAAGUUAGGGGAUCGAAGACGAUCAGAUACCGUCGUAGUCUUAACCAUAAACUAUGCCGACUAGGGAUCGGAUGAUGUUAAUUUUUUAAUGA